Molecule: ribosomal RNA, 229 nt
Filed under: uncultured bacterium
Lineage: Bacteria
Description: partial 16S ribosomal RNA
Rfam family: Bacterial small subunit ribosomal RNA
Source: RNAcentral
UCCGUAGGUGGAUAAUUAAGUCAGAGGUGAAAUCCUGCAGCUCAACUGUAGAAUUGCCUUUGAUACUGGUUAUCUUGAGUCAUUAUGAAGUGGUUAGAAUGUGUAGUGUAGCGGUGAAAUGCAUAGAUAUUACACCGAAUACCGAUUGCGAAGGCAGAUCACUAAUAAUGUACUGACACUGAUGGACGAAAGCGUGGGGAGCGAACAGGAUUAGAUACCCUGGUAGUCC